RNAcentral lists this ribosomal RNA (577 nucleotides) under Trichosporonoides sp. 11-1190. Its description in RNAcentral is "eukaryotic LSU rRNA". It matches the Rfam family "Eukaryotic large subunit ribosomal RNA", at positions 49 to 663 of the family's 3401-position model. The record is from RNAcentral. Lineage: Eukaryota; Fungi; Basidiomycota; Moniliellomycetes; Moniliellales; Moniliellaceae.
AGCGGAGGAAAAGAAACCAACAUGGAUUCCCCUAGUAGCGGCGAGCGAAGCGGGAUGAGCCCAGAUUUGAAAGCUCCCGCCAGGGCGCAUUGUAAGCUGGAGACGUGCCUCGAGCGGCGCGGCUGGACGCCAAGUCUGCUGGAAAGCAGCAUCAGAGAGGGUGAGAAUCCCGUGCUUGGUCUGGCUGUGGCGCCGUGUUGUGGGGUGCGCUCGACGAGUCGCGUUGUUUGGGAAUGCAGCGCAAAGCGGGUGGUAAACGCCAUCCAAGGCUAAAUACCGGGGAGAGACCGAUAGCGAACAAGUACCGUGAGGGAAAGAUGAAAAGCACUUUGGAAAGAGAGUUAAACAGUACGUGAAAUUGCCAAGAGGGAAGCGCUGGCAGUCAGUGCCGUAGCUGUGUCUCUCUGUGGAUGCAGUGGGGCCCGCAUCGGUUGCGUGUGGGGGAGAAGGCAGUGCGGAAGGUGGCUUACCUCGUGUGAGUGUUAUAGCCGUGCUGUGGAUGCCCUGCGUGCGACCGAGGACCGCUCUUUGACAGGAUGCGGGCUUAAUGGCUUUCAGCGGCCCGUCUUGAACUAGG